CGGACGGGUGAGUAAUGUCUGGGAAACUGCCUGAUGGAGGGGGAUAACUACUGGAAACGGUAGCUAAUACCGCAUAACGUCGCAAGACCAAAGAGGGGGACCUUCGGGCCGCUUGCCAUCGGAUGUGCCCAGAUGGGAUUAGCUAGUAGGUGGGGUAACGGCUCACCUAGGCGACGAUCCCUAGCUGGUCUGAGAGGAUGCCAGCCACACUGGAACUGAGACACGGUCCAG
Molecule: ribosomal RNA, 231 nt
Filed under: uncultured bacterium
Lineage: Bacteria
Description: partial 16S ribosomal RNA
Rfam family: Bacterial small subunit ribosomal RNA
Source: RNAcentral